RNAcentral lists this long non-coding RNA (3980 nucleotides) under Citrus maxima (pomelo). RNAcentral describes it as "long non-coding RNA (CMAX_LNC002881)". Lineage: Eukaryota; Viridiplantae; Streptophyta; Magnoliopsida; Sapindales; Rutaceae. The record is from RNAcentral.
GCACUGUUAUGAGGUCACUGGGUCAGAACCCCACUGAGGCUGAGCUCCAGGACAUGAUCAAUGAAGUGGAUGCUGAUGGCAAUGGAACUAUUGAUUUUCCUGAAUUCCUAAACCUCAUGGCCAGGAAGAUGAAGGAUACCGACUCUGAGGAGGAGCUGAAAGAGGCCUUCCGGGUUUUCGACAAGGAUCAGAAUGGUUUCAUCUCAGCUGCUGAGCUGCGCCAUGUGAUGACAAACCUAGGAGAGAAACUUACUGAUGAAGAAGUUGAUGAGAUGAUAAGGGAAGCUGAUGUUGAUGGUGAUGGCCAGAUAAAUUAUGAGGAAUUUGUCAAGGUUAUGAUGGCCAAGUAAUGACCCCAACCCACCAAUACUUAUAAAAUGGGUUGACUAAAUUAUAAAGGGAUUCCUAGUUUUCUCUUUUACAAUUUUUAAUUUGAUAGUCAUGAGGGUCAGGCUAAAGGAAGCAAUGGUCUUUUAAUGGUGAUGGGCCUGAUGGUGUAGGAAGAAUGUUGUCUCCCUCGUCAAUAUGUCUUGUGACUCGAAAAACUUUUCGGUUUUUAUUAUUUUAGUUGUUCUGCUGUUCUAUGAAUGUUGUUGUCUGUUUAAUGUGUUUCAUUAAUUUCUGCCCUUGCGAUGUUUAUUUUUCUUUUGGUCGAAAUAUGUAUCCUAUUUUAUGUAUCAGGCUAUCAGCUUAGGUUUCUUGGCCUAUAAUUUUAUUUCUUUGGUUAUGAUGAAUGAAUUUGCUAUGGGCUUUUGCUGCAGUGGUCGGUUUUGGUCUUGUAAUAGAAAUUACCCCAGGGACUGAACGGUCUAUAUGGCAUUACUCACAAACUCGAAUUUUCUUUUCAAUGGAAUGAAUCUGGAUUACCAAACACGGCAAUGCCCUUGUUUCUCGUUGAGAAAGAAGAAAAUACAGAAGUAAAUUGAACGUCUGUAAAUCCUCUGCUAGAUCCGUUUUGACUUUUAUGCAAGGGGCUUUGUGUUAGUGCUGUCUGGUUCGUUUCAACAAUCUAAAACAAUUUCAAGAUCUAAUCUAUUUUCAAAACUAAUUUUAAUGAAUGAACGAACAUUUCCAAAACUUCAUCUCACGGGGAACGUACAUUUCUAAAAAUUCCAUUUCUUUGGGGACGUUAAACACGAUGUUUCAAUAUUUGAGUUCUCAUGAUGUGGCAUCUAUUUAUUGUAGGAAAGAAUGGAGUAAUAAUAAUAUUUUAUGGGUACACAUUAAUUAUAUAUGUUAUUAUAUGAAUUAUAAUAUUUCUUCUUACUUAAAUGAAGUUAAAUCCCGUUGGAUUUAAGCGUCUUCUUUGAUAUAUAUAAAUCUAUAUUAGUCAUCAACCGCGGAACUAUGUUUGGGCCUCAAGGGCCUAGCUCCAGUUCGGAAAUAAUUGGACAAAAAUAAGGUUGAACUUUUAUAAUCUAGUCUAUUCUAACGUAUAAUUUAUACUUUGGUUUUCUUAUUUUUAGAUUUUUAUAUAUAUUAUGACCCCAUAAAAUCAAAAUUAUAGUUGUACCACUGGUAACAUUGUGAUGUUCUAUCUUAUGAAGUAGUGAGAUUUUUUUUUAUAAUUAUUUUAUUAAAAUAGUACAACACUUCAAAAUAUAUUGUUUUUAUACCUGAAGUUUCUAAAGAUACAAAUUUUAUACUUUGUCUUUUUGAAUCUUCAUGAAAUACAUUCUUCAGCAAGGGCGAGAUAAGGUAAAUAAUGUUAGGCUUGGGUAUUAUUUCGAAGUUCUUGACGAGAAGAAUAAAAGUCAUAGUAAAUGUUUUACAAAUUUUGUUGUUCAAAAUUUGGCACUAAAUUGCAGAAUUUUCCAAAAUAUCUGCCAUGAGUUUUUUGAUUUCGAAGGUCGAAAGCUUUAAAAUGAUAUUAUAUACAAAACUUGAUACUAUUUACACUAUUUAGUAGUUGUAAAAAAAAGAAAAUUGUCUUGCAUCUAGCAUAAAUUAUAUUACAAGGGCAAAAUAAUAUUUUAGUAUAAAUUCAUUAACAUAUUCUACAACAAGAUGUAAAAUGGUAUUUUAAAAACCAUUGAAUAUAAGAAUGGUAGAUUUUAAAAUGUUUUAAUAAUUUUGGCUUUUUUUUUGGUUUACACGAAGGAAAAUAGUUCUCUAUUUUAUUUUACCAACAAGGAAAUCAGGUGAAAAAAUUUAGAAUACAUAAAUAAAUAAAUAAUAUUAUAUCAUGUAUUAUUACAUGUCACGCGUGUAAUAAUUAUUUGUAUCACCUCAAAUGUCGCAAGGGACUUUAGGAAUGGAAAGCAGGAAGUGAUAAAUGACCGGCAAAUUAAAAAUGAAGGGUAAAAAGGGAAAAUCAAAGAUUAUGGAGAUUUGAUGAUUCAUUUACGUCCGGAAGCAAGGAAUUUGACGCGAGAAGAUUGGGCCAUAUAAAAGGCAACCAUCGUGUUGUCUGGAGUAACAAGGCCAUUUCUCUCUCUCGUUAUUUGAUUUUGCGGGGAAAAAAAAAACCUAGUUUUCGGUGUAAAAAAAGAAGAAAAUGGCGGAUCAGCUCACCGACGAUCAGAUCUCCGAGUUUAAAGAAGCCUUCAGCUUGUUCGACAAGGACGGCGACGGUCUGAUUUUCUCUCUUCAUAAUCUCUUUGCUUUUAGCUUUGGAUUUUCUUAUAGAUCUAUUUUUUUUCCCUCUAUUCACGAAGCUGUUGAUUUUUGGAACGUUUUUGAUUAAUUACAGCUCUGAUCUCUCAUAUUUUCAAUUGAUUUUCGAUGUGUGAUGUGAUUUUGUUGAUUCUCUAAUUGAUGUUCGAUUAAUUGGAUUAUAUAAUUGACUGAACAUUAGGCUGAUGCGUUUCGUAUUUAAAAAGCUGCACAUUGUUUUUGUGGGCUUUGUUUGUUAUGCUUUAAUAUUGUUUUGUACAUGAAAGCAGUCGAUUCCGAAUCAGACCCGUGGAUGUUCAAGCUCUAUCGUAGUGUUCUUUCAUUAUUAAAUGAAAAAUCCUUCUGAUUCACUUUGCCUAGAACAAGUUCUUAUUCUGAUCGAAUGAUGCUUGCCAACCGCACAACAUAAUGGGCUUUACAUUAAAUUCUGUAAUACUUAUUGAAUCUGCUUCUUACUAAAUUUCUGGAUAGUUCGGCACAUUCUAAUUCAAUUAUGUUUUGGGAUUUGCAUCCUUUAUGCUCGUUUUGAGAAUUUGCUACUUGUAUUGUUUUAUCUAUUGUGCUUGUUACGUUUUAUUGUCUGCUGUUAUGCUUAGUGUUGUUUUUAGACUGAUUGGGUAUACUUAUCGUUUGCCAAAAUCUAGUCAGAACACUUGUCUCAUGUUGACACUGUAUUGUAUUUUGAUAAAUCAGCAAUGUUUAGCAAGUUAUGUUGCCUAGCUGUCAGCAACUUCACCACCGAGAGCUGUACUGCUUAGCAUUUUUGUUUUACGUGAGUAUCUAAAAAUUCUGACAGCUUUGUCGUGGUUCAUAUAAUAUUGGAUUUGCAGGUUGCAUUACCACCAAGGAGCUUGGCACUGUUAUGAGGUCACUGGGUCAGAACCCCACUGAGGCUGAGCUCCAGGACAUGAUCAAUGAAGUGGAUGCUGAUGGUAAUGGAACUAUUGAUUUUCCUGAAUUCCUAAACCUCAUGGCCAGGAAGAUGAAGGAUACCGACUCUGAGGAGGAGCUGAAAGAGGCCUUCCGGGUUUUCGACAAGGAUCAGAAUGGUUUCAUCUCAGCUGCUGAACUGCGUCAUGUGAUGACAAACCUUGGGGAGAAGCUUACUGAUGAGGAAGUCGAUGAGAUGAUAAGGGAAGCUGAUGUCGAUGGUGAUGGCCAGAUAAAUUAUGAGGAAUUUGUCAAGGUUAUGAUGGCUAAGUAAGUGACUCCACCCAACCAAAACUUCCUGGAAAAAGAAGAAAUUGGUUGAUUAAUAUAAUUGGUUCCCUAGUUUCCUUUUUUAUAAAUUUUAAUUUGAUAACUCUGAGGUCAAGCUAAAGGAAGCAUGUUGUCUCCUGCUUCAAUUUGUCUUGUGACUGGAG